RNAcentral lists this long non-coding RNA (536 nucleotides) under Homo sapiens (human). Its description in RNAcentral is "HSALNT0404472". Lineage: Eukaryota; Metazoa; Chordata; Mammalia; Primates; Hominidae. The record is from RNAcentral.
GGGCAAAGGUGCAUGACAACUCUGAGCAAGUCAAAACAACCGUCAGCAGCGGGAAACCUCGAUGAACAAACACCGGGAGAGUGUUUCUGCAGAUCCUGCUUUGUGACUUCGAGUGAAGUGUGGAAGCGCUGGAAGCACUUAGACCCUGCCUGUGCCGCAGACCCCUGGGAGGCACCAACACCCCGGAUCGAGAAGCCCGAUGGGAAAGAAUGUCUGGGAAGGACGUCAUGCCCGAGGCUUGCGUGACAGUUUCCACUCACAGUGCGCUCACUCUGAACCUCUGUGCACACGAUGGGCCUGCAUCUCUUCCCACUAUCUGCUAGGAAACACGAGGCAAGCACAUUCUGGAGAUGCGGGGCAGAGACGAGGCCUCCGUGAGAACCUUUGAGGUGUGAGGGCCUUGAUCUGGGGUGCAGCCUCCAGCUUUCUGCUUACAGAGCAGGACCUGCAGGAGCUCGCUGACUGCCUGCACAGUGGAAGGAAGACCUGUUUCUUUUACUUUCCUUGAGGAGAAAAAAUUAAAGUUCUGAGCAAAC